This 208-nucleotide unclassified non-coding RNA is filed under the name Hevea brasiliensis (rubber tree). Lineage: Eukaryota; Viridiplantae; Streptophyta; Magnoliopsida; Malpighiales; Euphorbiaceae. The record is from RNAcentral.
CGCAUUUCCACCCAUCACCAUUAUCUCUUCUUUUGGCCUUUGUUGGGUUUUAUCUCAAAUUCUUAUGAGUUCGUCUCAAAAUUACUUGCUGUUUUGUUUUUUAAUUGUUGAACAAGAAUGAGUAUUCCCAGAAAGAUUAAACUUGUUGAACAACUAAGGAUAUUCCUUUUAUAAGUAGAGAGUUCGUCUGGGGAGAUUUUGGUCUUUG